Molecule: ribosomal RNA, 253 nt
Filed under: uncultured bacterium
Lineage: Bacteria
Description: partial 16S ribosomal RNA
Rfam family: Bacterial small subunit ribosomal RNA
Source: RNAcentral
UACGGAAGGUGCGAGCGUUAUCCGGUUUUAUUGGGUUUAAAGGGGGCGUAGGCGGCUUAUUAAGUCAGUUGUGAAAUCCCAGUGCUUAACGCUGGAACUGCGAUUGAAACUGAUAGGCUUGAGUCAAGAAGGGGUAAGUAGAAUUUAUGGUGUAGUAGUGAAAUGCUUAGAUAUCAUAAGGAAUACCAAUAGCGAAGGCAGCUUACUGGUCUUGAACUGACGCUGAGGCACGAAAGCGUGGGGAGCAAACAGG